Molecule: ribosomal RNA, 157 nt
Filed under: fungal endophyte sp. A15
Lineage: Eukaryota; Fungi
Description: 5.8S ribosomal RNA
Rfam family: 5.8S ribosomal RNA
About the family: 5.8S ribosomal RNA (5.8S rRNA) is a component of the large subunit of the eukaryotic ribosome. It is transcribed by RNA polymerase I as part of the 45S precursor that also contains 18S and 28S rRNA.
Source: RNAcentral
ACUUUCAACAAUGGAUCUCUUGGCUCUGGCAUCGAUGAAGAACGCAGCGAAAUGCGAUAAGUAGUGUGAAUUGCAGAAUUCAGUGAAUCAUCGAAUCUUUGAACGCACAUUGCGCCCCUUGGUAUUCCGGGGGGCAUGCCUGUUCGAGCGUCAUCUA